Molecule: ribosomal RNA, 377 nt
Filed under: uncultured eukaryote
Lineage: Eukaryota
Description: partial 18S ribosomal RNA
Rfam family: Eukaryotic small subunit ribosomal RNA
Source: RNAcentral
CAAUAGCGUAUAUUAAAGUUGUUGCAGUUAAAAAGCUCGUAGUUGGAUUUCGGGGCAGCCUGGCUGGUCCGCCGCAAGGCGAGUACUGGUCAGCCGCCCUUCCUCUCGAAAGCCCCGUCUGCUCUUCGUUGCAGUGGUCGGGUAGUUCGGGACGUUUACUUUGAAAAAAUUAGAGUGUUCAAGGCAGGCCUACGCCUGAAUACAUUAGCAUGGAAUAAUGGAAGAGGACCUCGGUCCUAUUUUGUUGGUUUCCAGGGCCGAAGUAAUGAUUAAGAGGGACAGUUGGGGGCAUUCGUAUUUAAUUGUCAGAGGUGAAAUUCUCGGAUUUAUGAAAGACGAACAACUGCGAAAGCAUUUGCCAAGGAUGUUUUCAUUAA